Molecule: ribosomal RNA, 253 nt
Filed under: uncultured bacterium
Lineage: Bacteria
Description: partial 16S ribosomal RNA
Rfam family: Bacterial small subunit ribosomal RNA
Source: RNAcentral
ACGUAGGGGGCGAGCGUUGUCCGGAUUUAUUGGGCGUAAAGAGCUCGUAGGCGGUUUGGCAAGUCGGGUGUGAAAUUUCGAGGCUCAACCUCGAAACGCCACUCGAUACUGCCAUAACUGGAGUCCGGUAGAGGAGUGCGGAAUUCCUGGUGUAGCGGUGAAAUGCGCAGAUAUCAGGAGGAACACCAACGGCGAAGGCAGCACUCUGGGCCGGUACUGACGCUGAGGAGCGAAAGCGUGGGGAGCAAACAGG